AUUGAACGCUGGCGGCAGGCUUAACACAUGCAAGUCGAACGGUAACAUAAAGAAGCUUGCUUCUUUGAUGACGAGUGGCAGACGGGUGAGUAAUGCUUGGGAAUCUAGCUUAUGGAGGGGGAUAACUACGGGAAACUGUAGCUAAUACCGCGUAGAAUCGAGAGAUGAAAGUGUGGGACCUUCGGGCCACAUGCCAUAGGAUGAGCCCAAGUGGGAUUAGGUAGUUGGUGAGGUAAAGGCUCACCAAGCCGACGAUCUCUAGCUGGUUGAGAGGAUGACCAGCCACACUGGGACCGAGACACGGCCCAGACUCCUACGGGAGGCAGCAGUGGGGAAUAUUGCGCAAUGGGGGCAACCCUGACGCAGCCAUGCCGCGUGGAUGAAGAAGGCCUUCGGGUUGUAAAGUUCUUUCGGUAGCGAGGAAGGCAUUUAGUUUAAUAGACUAGGUGAU
RNAcentral lists this ribosomal RNA (451 nucleotides) under Terrahaemophilus aromaticivorans. Its description in RNAcentral is "bacterial SSU rRNA". It matches the Rfam family "Bacterial small subunit ribosomal RNA", at positions 30 to 476 of the family's 1533-position model. Lineage: Bacteria; Pseudomonadati; Pseudomonadota; Gammaproteobacteria; Pasteurellales; Pasteurellaceae. The record is from RNAcentral.